RNAcentral lists this ribosomal RNA (443 nucleotides) under uncultured bacterium. RNAcentral describes it as "bacterial SSU rRNA". It matches the Rfam family "Bacterial small subunit ribosomal RNA", at positions 29 to 506 of the family's 1533-position model. The record is from RNAcentral.
ACGAACGCUGGCGGCGUGGAUAAGGCAUGCAAGUCAAACGGGUCUGACGCAAGUCAGACCAGUGGCAAACGGGGUAGUAACACGUGGGUACAUACCUCGGAGACGGGCAUAACCAGCCGAAAGGUUGGAUAAUUCCCGAUAGUCUCGUAAGAGUAAACGAGUAAUCGGCUCCGAGAACGGCCUGCGGGCUAUCAGCUAGUUGGCAGGGUAACGGCCUACCAAGGCGAUGACGGCUAGGGGGGGUGAGAGCCCGAUCCCCACCAAUGGCACUGCGACACGGGCCAUACACCUACGGGUGGCAGCAGCCGAGAAUAUUCGACAAUGGGCGAAAGCCUGAUCGAGCGACGCCGCGUGCAGGAAGAAGCUCUUCGGGGCGUAAACUGCUUUUCUCUGGGAGGAAUUUCGAUGACUGUACCAGAGGAAUAAGGGCCUGCAAACCUCGU